Long non-coding RNA from Mangifera indica (mango), 579 nucleotides. RefSeq lists it as uncharacterized. NCBI's taxonomy places the organism in Eukaryota, Viridiplantae, Streptophyta, Magnoliopsida, Sapindales, Anacardiaceae. The transcript has 2 exons. The record is from RefSeq and is a predicted model, not a curated record.
AAUAACACAGAGAGGCUUUGGGGUCAGCACAGUCAGGAGGAGACCUUUUGGUUUAAGGGAAAUCCUCGCAUGGGAACAAGACGAGGUCAAAUCUACGCUGUGUUAAACUACCUUCCGGUGGGUAAAGCGACAUGAAACAGAGACAAGAAAAUGAAUCAAUAAAUAAGCACCAUCUCGCUCUACCUUUCUAUCAUAAAAGCACUGCCCUUUAUUUAUUCAACGAUUACAAAAUUUAUUGGUUGAAGAAGCAAAGAGAGUAUACUAUUUAUUAAGUUUGAGCCAUUAUUGAAAAGCUACACACAAAAGUAGACCCGAUGAGAUGUAGUUUUUAUUAGGACAAACGACAAUAAUUUUUGUUUGGGUCUGACAGAAGACAAUAAUCAAAUGAUUAAUACUGCACUGUACUUAAACAUUUCCAAUUCAUUACUCAUUACCUUUAAUUAAUUUGUUUCUGCUUUCCUGGGUUGCCACUGUCAUGGUGGCUAUGGAACAAGAUCAUCUCGUGACCACCUUCAAACCCAUCAUAAUAUUUGUUUAAUUUAAGUAAAGCAUAUCUCAAUAAAGUCAGUAGAUUAUAUA